This 227-nucleotide non-coding RNA is filed under the name Petrocella atlantisensis. RNAcentral's name for it is "T-box". It matches the Rfam family "T-box leader". From Rfam's summary of the family: Uncharged tRNA acts as the effector for transcription antitermination of genes in the T-box leader family. The record is from RNAcentral. Lineage: Bacteria; Bacillati; Bacillota; Clostridia; Lachnospirales; Vallitaleaceae.
ACUAAUACGUCGAAUCAGAAAGUAAAGAAUAAUCACUUGUGAUAGCGAGUCAAGGUUGGUGUGAGCUUGAUGACAAAUUAUUCUUAAAAAGAGCUGAGGAGUAGCUUCAUAAAAAAUACAAUUUUGUAAUGGUUGAAGCCGUAAAUCUGCGAUAAAGAUAUUAAAGUGGCAAUAUACAUAGUUUGUAUAUUGCAAUUAGAGUGGUACCGCGAACCUUCGUCUCUUGC